AACUACUUCUCACACACACCGACACAUAAUUCGGGUGCCAGUACGCUGGUUGGAUUAUGGGGUAUGUGGAGGCUCAAC
Molecule: small RNA, 78 nt
Filed under: marine eukaryotic metagenome
Description: t44 RNA
Rfam family: t44 RNA
About the family: This family consists of a number of bacterial RNA genes of between 135 and 170 bases in length. The t44 gene is found between the map and rpsB genes in all species in the full alignment apart from Shigella flexneri. The function of this RNA is unknown.
Source: RNAcentral